GCUGGGCACAGUGGCGUGUGCCUGUAGUCCCAGCUACUCGGGAGGCUGAGGUGGGAGGAUCACUUGAGCCCAGGAAGUCAAGGCUGCAGUGAGCUGUGAUCACGCCACUGCACUCUAGCCUGGGUCACAGAGUGAGACCUUGUCUCAA
This is a non-coding RNA of Gorilla gorilla gorilla (western lowland gorilla), 148 nucleotides long. It matches the Rfam family "Metazoan signal recognition particle RNA". From Rfam's summary of the family: The signal recognition particle (SRP) is a universally conserved ribonucleoprotein. It is involved in the co-translational targeting of proteins to membranes. The eukaryotic SRP consists of a 300-nucleotide 7S RNA and six proteins: SRPs 72, 68, 54, 19, 14, and 9. The record is from Rfam. NCBI's taxonomy places the organism in Eukaryota, Metazoa, Chordata, Mammalia, Primates, Hominidae.